Molecule: non-coding RNA, 198 nt
Organism: Oryza glaberrima (African rice)
Lineage: Eukaryota; Viridiplantae; Streptophyta; Magnoliopsida; Poales; Poaceae
Source: Rfam
UAUAAACCAUAAGUUUUCGUACCUAAUUUUAAUCAUCUGUCUUAUUUAAUUUUUUUUAUAAUUAAUAUGUUUAUUGUUACGAGAUAAUAAAAUAUGAAUAAUACUUUAUGCGUGAUUUAUGUUUUCAAUUUUUUUAAAAAAAUUUCAAAUAAGACGGUCAAUAAAAAUUAGGCACGGAAAAUUACGGUUGCACUUAAA